CUACGGGCGGCAGCAGUGAGGAAUAUUGCACAAUGGGGGGAACCCUGAUGCAGCAACGCCGCGUGGAGGAUGACGCAUUUCGGUGUGUAAACUCCUUUUAUAUGUCAAGAAAAUGACGGUAGCAUAUGAAUAAGCACCGGCUAACUCCGUGCCAGCAGCCGCGGUAAUACGGAGGGUGCAAGCGUUACUCGGAAUCACUGGGCGUAAAGACGCGUAGGCGGGUUGGAAAGUCAGGUGUGAAAUCCUACAGCUUAACUGUAGAACUGCACUUGAAACUUCUAAUCUAGAGUAUGGGAGGGGGAGAUGGAAUUAGUGGUGUAGGGGUAAAAUCCGUAGAUAUCACUAGGAAUACCUAAAGCGAAGGCGAUCUCCUGGAACAUUACUGAUGUUAAGGCGUGAAAGCGUGGGGAGCAAACAGGAUUAGAUACCCGGGUAGUC
This 438-nucleotide ribosomal RNA is filed under the name uncultured bacterium. RNAcentral describes it as "partial 16S ribosomal RNA". It matches the Rfam family "Bacterial small subunit ribosomal RNA", at positions 339 to 795 of the family's 1533-position model. The record is from RNAcentral.